This 230-nucleotide ribosomal RNA is filed under the name uncultured Enterobacterales bacterium. RNAcentral's name for it is "partial 16S ribosomal RNA". It matches the Rfam family "Bacterial small subunit ribosomal RNA", at positions 100 to 334 of the family's 1533-position model. The record is from RNAcentral. Lineage: Bacteria; Pseudomonadati; Pseudomonadota; Gammaproteobacteria; Enterobacterales.
GGACGGGUGAGUAAUGUCUGGGAAACUGCCUGAUGGAGGGGGAUAACUACUGGAAACGGUAGCUAAUACCGCAUAACGUCGCAAGACCAAAGAGGGGACCUUCGGGCCUCUUGCCAUCAGAUGUGCCCAGAUGGGAUUAGCUUGUUGGUGGGGUAACGGCUCACCAAGGCGACGAUCCCUAGCUGGUCUGAGAGGAUGACCAGCCACACUGGAACUGAGACACGGUCCAG